GGAUCGGGCGGUCGUCUGUGGGAGGACGACCAGGUAUGGAUCCGGCCCCCCCGUUUCGCCCGGAUGUCCGGCCUUUCCCCAGGGGUCGCGCA
Molecule: regulatory RNA element, 92 nt
Organism: Palleronia marisminoris
Lineage: Bacteria; Pseudomonadati; Pseudomonadota; Alphaproteobacteria; Rhodobacterales; Roseobacteraceae
Rfam family: Rhodo-rpoB RNA
Source: Rfam